UUUUUUACCAGCCAAGCUAAUUUUGAAGUCCAUACGACAUAGGCAAGACACAAGACACAAGACACAAGACACAAGACAAGACAAGACACAAGACACAAGACAAGACAAGACACAAGACACAAGACACAAGACAAGACAUGACAAUUUUAUUCUUUAAAAUUUCUGAAAGUCAAAUGUGACAAAUGUAUGAGAAGAUAGUAAAAUUCUGGAAUUACAAUAACCACACAAAUUUAAGAUUUGUAAUACACUUGAAACAACGUAUUACUUACAAUUCUGUCUCUGAUUCUUUAUAAUUUCCUAUUUGUUUGUUACAGAUAUGUUUAAACUAGAAAGAAACUCCACAUAAAGACGAUGACCGAAACAGAUGCUCGGGAUUGCGUUUGCGAAGGAAAAAAUAAAUUAGGAGGCAUAACCAGAACGUUCAACGUCAGUUUCCCGACACGUGACAUUAUAGAAACUAAUUCUAAAAGUAAGUUUUCAUUAUAAUUAUUGUACAAUCUAGGAUAAAAUAUCAAUAUAGGAGAAGACAGCAAUAAGUCGAAAAUCCUCCAAAAAGCGGCGAAAUCGGGGACUAGAAUUAACUAUUUGAUGUUUUCUAUGCACGAAAAAAUUAUUGGAAACAGUUAAUUGUUUCCCCAAGUUGCACCGAUUGUGAGUGAUAUAACUUCUUUAGAUGCUCUUAUCUGAACGUCGGUAUUACAAACAAGUUGAUUUCUUUAAAAUAAAAUAAAAUAAAAGCAAUACGUGAACCUAACACCGCUGAUUGGUCAUCAAAAGAUUGUUGCUGAAUUUUUGUAUCCAUUUGAAUUGGAAUAAUUGAAUGUGAAUGGAAGACGAUAAUGAUGAAGUUAACUACAUGUACCUUUAUUAAAAAUAUGUAAUAGUGUGUAAAUUCUUGCACUAGUCAGUAAUGUUGGAUAGUUGUGAAUAGAAAUGUGUAUAUAUAUACAGCUACAGAUGCGCAUUUCGACAAUCAAUGUCUCUUCAGUGCGAUAUGGAUGCUCAAGGCCAAAAUCUUUGAAAAUCCAAAGCUUAAUAAAAUAAACCAAAAAGGACAAAAAGAAUAGACAAAGCCAGGCAAUGAAUCGGAGCUUAAAAAUAGAUUAAUAAUAGCUCAUUUAUAUUUGUUGAAAAGUAACAAGAAAUAUUAUUUUUGAUAAUUUCGCGAUGAAGAUAAUAUCGUGAAAAUAUUCAUAUAUUAAUCAAAAACAAGAAUACACGGUGGUGUAUGUUGAAUAGGCAAUUAUCCCAACAGACAUCCUAUCGACCUCUACAAGAGACAGACAAUAAUUCACUUAUAGUAUGUUUAUGUUCAUAUAAUACAGAAAAACGCGACAAUUAUUAAAAUUAAAACAAAACAAAACAAAACAAAAAUGACGCAUUUUGAACAGGGAGACGGUAAAAAAAAAUGUCCCAAAAUCCUAAGAUAACGAUAGGGUUUAAUUUAUAUUUGUUAAUUUAUUUGUUCUUUUUAGUAGUUAAUGUAGCGAAAAAUCAUUUCUUCUUUUAUUAAUAGUUUUUAUUUCAAUUUUGACAGAUUUUGAACAAAAUGAAGAAUUCAAGGAAUUGAUGAAAAAGAUGCAAGAAGUGAUCACGGAUUUAAGGAAACAAACAAAAGAUCGAAAUAAAAACAAAGUUCAUAUUCAUAGUGACGACGACGAUAAUGAUGAUGAUAACAUCGACGACAAUGAUUAUGAUGCUGAUGAUGACCAUAAUGAUGAUGACAAUGACAUUGAUGACGACGAUGAUGAUGACGAUAGGGAUGAUGACGAUAGUGAUGAAGACGAAAGUGAUGACGAGGAAGAAGAUGGCGACGAUGAGGAUGAAGAUGACGACGACGAUGAUGAUGAGGGAGAUAGUGACGAAGAUGAUACUGAUCAUGAUGACGACGAUGAUGCUGACGAUGACGAUGAUGACGAUAAUGAAGAUCAUGAUAAGGGACAACAUAUUCAUAUGCAUUUGCAUUUUGACGGUCACAAGUUUAAGCCUCUUACUGCAGGAGGAACAUACAUGUCUUCCCCAGGAUUACUGCGGGAAGGACAUAUGUGUCUUUUGUGUCAAAAAAGUAAGAUUGUUUUUAAUAUUUUAUAAGAUAUCUAAAACUAUCGCUUUCUUCAUUUAUUGCAAUCAUUUCAUACAUCUGAAUAUUUGUUAUAUAGUUAACGGCACGAUAUAUAACUACAC
This 2184-nucleotide long non-coding RNA is filed under the name Mytilus galloprovincialis (Mediterranean mussel). The record is from RNAcentral. Lineage: Eukaryota; Metazoa; Mollusca; Bivalvia; Mytilida; Mytilidae.